Bufo bufo (common toad) is the source of this 771-nucleotide non-coding RNA. Lineage: Eukaryota; Metazoa; Chordata; Amphibia; Anura; Bufonidae. The record is from the annotation of a RefSeq genome assembly.
UGGAGCUUAACUCCAAAAAGAGGGGGUACUUUACUGUGUUCGCGAUUAGUUUAGCCACACACCCCUUCGUCAAACUAUAAUAAAAUGGAAUUAUAUUGGGCAGGCAAGGGUUAACUGGAGACAGGAAACAAAUGUAACGUUUUGACAUCUUUGAUACAAAAGAGCAGCACCUGGCAACAACCAGUAGCCCCGCCCCCAGGAGGAGCCCCUGACCUCGAGAGAAGGAACCUAGAACCUCUCCCCAUAGACGCCACUGGUGGUGAGAUGAUGGGGAUCCUCCUCCUGCUUAUUCCUGCUUUUACCUUCCUCCCAUGCUGCAGUGCCGUCCACGUGGAGCAGGAUAAGAAGCUUCUGAUAGUGAAGACCGGGGAAAAGCGUCAGGUGAAUUGCACGCAGGAUCAGAAUGAUUAUUUGAACAUGUUCUGGUAUCAGCAGAAACCGGAUCAAGGACUGAAGCUCAUGGUGCAUUCAGUAGGAGUAGAUUCUACAACCAUGGAGAAGGACUAUGAGCAGAGGUGGUCCUUGACGAGGACCACCGUCUAUAGCGCCACUCUGACCCUAACCGCCUCAGCCGCAGAGGACAACGCUGUGUACUUCUGCGCUGCCAGUAUACACAGCCUGAGAGAGCGGAGCCCAGCAUGGUAAUAACCUGAGUGUAAUCCCUGACCGCACCAGCAGGGGGCGACAAGCAGCUUCGUGAAGGCGAAAAACAAUUCAAAGAAUCAGAAAACAACGAUAAGGAGGGAAUAAUCAUUAUUAGGGCUCACGCAC